Molecule: long non-coding RNA, 203 nt
Filed under: Carica papaya (papaya)
Lineage: Eukaryota; Viridiplantae; Streptophyta; Magnoliopsida; Brassicales; Caricaceae
Description: long non-coding RNA (CPAP_LNC015701)
Source: RNAcentral
AGCAAAACAUCAAAACGCGACUCACGCUGGAGAAGCCGUCGCACCCGAGAGCACCGCCGCUGAUAAGUCUCGGUUUUUCGUAAUUUUUUGGCCUACCGAGGGCCCUAAGGUUGUUUUAUCAUAGGGACCAAUGCAAGUUUGGCCGAAUUCGGCUGAAAACUGCCAACCCGAGGCGGAUCGCCACCGCAUAUGGCAGCGCCGUC